RNAcentral lists this long non-coding RNA (761 nucleotides) under Gallus gallus (chicken). RNAcentral's name for it is "lncRNA (ENSGALG00010006747.1)". The record is from RNAcentral. Lineage: Eukaryota; Metazoa; Chordata; Aves; Galliformes; Phasianidae.
AACGGAAAGAACGUAAAGAACCUCCACAGAAACAGAAACAUACAACAGAAAUUUAAGUGACAGGUCAAGAACAACUACGGAAAUAACGGAAAGAACGGAAAGAACGGAAAAUAGCCACCGAAAGACAUAAACAUACGGCAGAAAAUUAGGUGACAGGUCAAGAACAACAAUGGAAAGAACGGAAAGAACGGAAAGAACCUCCAGAGAGACAGAAACAUACGGCAAAAACUUAGGUGACAGGUCAAGAACAACUACGGAAAGAACGGAAAGAACGGAAAUAACCUCCACAGAGCGAGAAACAUAUGGCAGAAAAUUAGGUGACAGGUCAAGAACAACAACGGAAAUAACGGAAACAACGGAAAUAACAGAAAGAACGGAAAUAAUAACGGUAAAAACGAAAAUAACCUUUAGAGAUACAGAAACAUACGUCAGACAAUUUGGUGACAGAUCAAGAACAACAACGGAAAUAACUUAAAUAACGGAAAUAACGGAAAUAACCUCCACAGAGACAGAAACAUUCGGCAGAAAAUUAGGUGACAGGUCAAGAACCACAACUGAAAUAAUGGAAAUAACGGAAAUAACGGAAAAAACGGAAAUAAUAACGGUAUUAACGGAGAUAAUCUCCAGAGAGACAGAAAGAUACGUCAGACAAUUUGGUGACAGAUCAAGAACAACAACGGUAAUAACUGAAAUAACGGAAAUAACGGAAAUAACCUCGACAGAGACAGAAACUUAGGGCAGAAAAUUAGGUGACAGGUCAA